This 970-nucleotide ribosomal RNA is filed under the name human gut metagenome. RNAcentral describes it as "bacterial LSU rRNA". It matches the Rfam family "Bacterial large subunit ribosomal RNA", at positions 1957 to 2925 of the family's 2925-position model. The record is from RNAcentral.
UAGCGAAAUUCCUUGUCGGGUAAGUUCCGACCCGCACGAAAGGCGUAAUGAUUUGAGCGCUGUCUCGACAAUGCACCCGGUGAAAUUGAAAUACCAGUGAAGAUGCUGGUUACCUGCGCCAGGACGGAAAGACCCCAUGGAGCUUUACUCCAGCUUGAUACUGGGAUUCGGUACUGCAUGUACAGGAUAGGUGGGAGACUGAGAACUAUGAACGCCAGUUUGUAGGGAGUCGCUGUUGGGAUACCACCCUUGCGGUAUUGGAUUUCUAACCUGCAGCCGUGAACCGGCUGGGGGACAAUGUCAGGCGGGGAGUUUGACUGGGGCGGUCGCCUCCGAAAGGGUAUCGGAGGCGCUCAAAGGUUCCCUCAUAAUGGUUGGAAACCAUUAGAAGAGUGCAAAGGCAUAAGGGAGCUUGACUGCGACACCGACGGGUGGAGCAGGUACGAAAGUAGGACUUAGUGAUCCGGUGGUAUGAAAGUGGGAUUGCCAUCGCUCAACGGAUAAAAGCUACCCUGGGGAUAACAGGCUUAUCACUCCCAAGAGUUCACAUCGACGGAGUGGUUUGGCACCUCGAUGUCGGCUCAUCGCAUCCUGGGGCUGUAGCAGGUCCCAAGGGUUGGGCUGUUCGCCCAUUAAAGCGGUACGCGAGCUGGGUUCAGAACGUCGUGAGACAGUUCGGUCCCUAUCCGGCGCGGGCGUAGGAUAUUUGAGAGGAGCUGUCCUUAGUACGAGAGGACCGGGAUGGACUGACCUCUGGUGUACCUGUUGCACUGCCAAGUGCAUGGCCGGGUAGCCAAGUCGGGACGGGAUAAACGCUGAAGGCAUCUAAGCGUGAAGCCCCCCUCAAGAUGAGAUAUCCCAUAACGUAAGUUAGUAAGACCCCUUGAAGACGACGAGGUAGAUAGGCAGAAGGUGGAAGUGUGGUGACAUAUGGAGCUGAUCUGUACUAAUAGGUCGAGGGCUUAACCAA